UACGUAGGGGGCAAGCGUUAUCCGGAAUUAUUGGGUGUAAAGGGUGCGUAGACGGAGAAACAAGUUGGUUGUGAAAUCCCUCGGCUCAACCGAGGAACUGCAACCAAAACUAUUUCCCUUGAGUGUCGGAGAGGAAAGUGGAAUUCCUAGUGUAGCGGUGAAAUGCGUAGAUAUUAGGAGGAACACCAGUGGCGAAGGCGACUUUCUGGACGAUAACUGACGUUGAGGCACGAAAGUGUGGGGAGCAAACAGG
This 253-nucleotide ribosomal RNA is filed under the name uncultured bacterium. RNAcentral describes it as "partial 16S ribosomal RNA". It matches the Rfam family "Bacterial small subunit ribosomal RNA", at positions 524 to 776 of the family's 1533-position model. The record is from RNAcentral.